GACGAACGCUGGCGGCGUGCUUAACACAUGCGAGUCGAACGGUGAAGCUCCAGCUUGCUGGAGUGGAUCAGUGGCGAACGGGUGAGUAACACGUGAGCAACCUGCCCCUGACUCUGGAAUAAGCGCUGGAAACGGCGUCUAAUACUGGAUACGAGAAGGGUCCGCAUGGGCACUUUCUGGAAAGUUUUUCGGUUGGGGAGGGGCUCGCGGCCUAUCAGCUUGUUGGUGAGGUAAUGGCUCACCACGGCGACGACGGGUAGCCGGCCUGAGAGGGCGACCGGCCACACUGGGACUGAGACACGGCCCAGACUCCUACGGGAGGCGGCAGUGGGGAAUAUUGCACAAUGGGCGAAAGCCUGAUGCAGCGACGCCGCGUGAGGGAUGACGGCCUUCGGGUUGUAAACCUCUUUCAGCAGGGAAGAAGCGAAAGUGACGGUACCUGCAGAAGAAGCACCGGCUAACUACGUG
This 468-nucleotide ribosomal RNA is filed under the name uncultured bacterium. Its description in RNAcentral is "partial 16S ribosomal RNA". It matches the Rfam family "Bacterial small subunit ribosomal RNA", at positions 28 to 507 of the family's 1533-position model. The record is from RNAcentral.